RNAcentral lists this ribosomal RNA (409 nucleotides) under uncultured microorganism. RNAcentral describes it as "bacterial SSU rRNA". It matches the Rfam family "Archaeal small subunit ribosomal RNA", at positions 330 to 745 of the family's 1478-position model. The record is from RNAcentral.
GCACAGCAGUCGCGAAUACUUUACAAUGUGCGAAAGCACGUUAAGGGAACUCUGAGUGCCUCCUAAGGAGGCUGUUCAGGUGUCUAAAAGCACCUGGAGUAAGGGCUGGGUAAGACCGGUGCCAGCCGCCGCGGUAACACCGGCAGCCCAGGUGGUAGCCACUUUUAUUGGGUCUAAAGCGUCCGUAGCCGGUUGAGUAAGUUCCUUGGGAAAUUUGGCUGCUCAACAGUCAAGCUUCCAGGGAAUACUGCUCGACUUGGGACUGGGAGAGGUCAGAGGUACUCCAGGGGUAGGGGUGAAAUCCAUUAAUCCCUGGGGGACCACCGGUAGCGAAGGCGUCUGACCAGACCAGGUCCGACGGUGAGGGACGAAGGCUAGGGGCGCGAACCGGAUUAGAUACCCCCGUAGU